GUAACCAAGUUACUGUAACCAAGUUACCAUAGCCAAGUUACUGUAACCAAGUUACCAUAGCCAAGUUACCAUAACCAAGUUAAUAUUGACUUCUGUUCAUGUCCUUGGUUUUAGGAUGGAGUGUUUGUGACCUUUGACCCUGCAUGUUGACAUAAGAGCUGUCCAAAUGAAGCAGCUGAGGAACCACACACACUGGGACAGAUCUAAUGGUAACUUCCUGUCAUUUUGGAGUUGUGUUUAUCCUGGUUUGUAUCUGUUUUAGCUAACUUUAAUGUUUCCAUAUUUUUAUUCCACAUUGUUACGGCUAUAUUCCAUCUUUAGUCCGACUGUUACACAUGUUUCAUUCUCUCCCACUCGUAUUGCUUUAAUUCUUUUAUGUUUUUAUACUACUGUAAAACGUACUCUCUUACUGCAGUUCAUCUAUACGACCUUUUUUAAUAUCGUACCUUCAUAUAUUGUACGUUGUUAUCAAACCAAUGUUGAACAUUUAACAACAUUAUUACUGAUAUUUCCAAUGAAAAGCCUUUGGCCUGAGGCGUUUGAGGACAUGAUGAUAUAGGCAGUAAAUCACAUUAUCUAAGCUCUCAUUCAUUUGAAACACACACUCCGUAGAUCACAUGAGAAGCACUCGGACCAUAAAAGUUACAGGUCAAUAAACCUGCCGGUGGUGAUUAAUGCAGUGUCCAUUAUUCAAGCUAACGUUGAAUUAUUAAUUCAGGCAAAAAAUUCAAGUCAAGGACGACUUUUGUAUUAGGAAUAAUCGGUUUAUUUCAAGUAUCAAACAUUAAGGCAGUGUUUUCUAAUUGAAUGUCAACUGUCUAAAAUGUGUUCUGAGGAAGAACAGAUAAAUAUAUCAGAAAAAUUUACCUAAAAACAACAACAUUUUCCGUUCACAGUUUAUAGCUUUUGCCUUAACAUGUUGAGAAUUUCAACUGUUGUACAAAUUUAGUACAAAAAUUUAGAGCACAGUUAAAAAAUGGCACAAACUCCCCACCCCCAAAUACACAAACAUGUAACAUACGGUAAAUGCUGGAUUUAUCAAAGAAAAAACAAUGGACAACAGUAGAAAACUGAAUGAUGAUGACAGUCAUCUGUUAGUUCAUAAAAAAAAAGGAUUUCCUUUCACCCAGCAGCCUCUAGCCACAGUAGUGCUGACCUUAAGGCACAGCAUUAAUGAAGUGAUGAAUGUGCCAUGACAUCAUCAGGAGUAACAUCGAAAAUGAUCCAUGUAAGGACCCAGACGAUAAGAUUGUGCUUGGUGUGUGAAGAAAAGCAGCAGAGUGAGGCAGAACUGUUGAAGAAAAUAUCCAUCUUUCUUCAAUUCCUACAAAUACGUCAUUUCAGGUUUCAUACUGAGUAAAUAAAUUUAGUGAUCAAUUUAAAUCAAAGUAAAUCAAAAGUAGAUGAUCAUUACAUUUUAUUACCUAUACUUUUAAUGACAUUUUAAAAAACAU
Long non-coding RNA from Cynoglossus semilaevis (tongue sole), 1454 nucleotides. RefSeq lists it as uncharacterized. The record is from RefSeq and is a predicted model, not a curated record. NCBI's taxonomy places the organism in Eukaryota, Metazoa, Chordata, Actinopteri, Pleuronectiformes, Cynoglossidae. The transcript is spliced from 2 exons.